RNAcentral lists this non-coding RNA (21 nucleotides) under Arabidopsis thaliana (thale cress). The record is from RNAcentral. Lineage: Eukaryota; Viridiplantae; Streptophyta; Magnoliopsida; Brassicales; Brassicaceae.
CGGCCGUCGGUGCAGAUCUUG